RNAcentral lists this long non-coding RNA (1352 nucleotides) under Salmo salar (Atlantic salmon). RNAcentral's name for it is "lncRNA (ENSSSAG00000093772.1)". Lineage: Eukaryota; Metazoa; Chordata; Actinopteri; Salmoniformes; Salmonidae. The record is from RNAcentral.
CUAAGGCUUCCACUAGAUGUUAACAGUCUUUAGAACCUUGUUUGAGGCUUCCACUGUGAAGUGGGGAUGAAUAAGAGCUCCUGGAGUCAGAUGACUGCCAGCAGGGCAUGAGCCUCAGCCAUGCGCGCUCACGUGAGAGGUAGCUCAGUUCCAUUGCAUUUCUGAAGACAAAGGAUUUCUCCGGUUUAAACUUUAUUGCGGAUUUAUGAUAAAAACAUCCUAAAGAUUGAUUCUAUACAUCGUUUGACAUGUUUCUACGAACUGUAAUUGAAUUUUUUGAGUUUUCGUCUGACCUUGUUGUGUUCGAGACCACCUAAAGCGAGACCGAUCCAAGACCGGAGCAAAUUCAGUUCAAAUCAAGACCAAGACCGGAGGGGUGGGCGAGAUCGAGUCAAGACCGAGACCGGGAGGGGGACAAGGGGUCUGAGAGACCAGAAAAAUGUGAGUCUAAUUCACGACCAUGACUGUCAUUUUGUCAAAUCACCACCAUAAUAAGAGUUCAAAAUGUCCAGUAUUUCUGUGUUCAUGUUUCAGUACAUAUUGAUUCUUUAGACAUUCAGAACAGUGAAUAAAUCCAUGCUGAGGUAAAAUAGAGCCACUCUACAAAUUAUUACUAACCCAAACACAGUGGGGAACAAUGGGUCUUCUACGCCUUCAGAGAAGGGCUAAGGAUAUAUGAAAUAAUGAUUAUAAUAAUACAAUAAUGAUAGUUAUAUUAUUAUUUUCAAUGAUGUUCUGAUUUAUCCCUGAAACUGAAUACAGUUAUCCCUGAAUCUGUAUUCAGUUUUUGUUGGAAAGGAAAGGGCUAACACUGAAGAGAAAAAAACAUCCAAUCAGGAUUUUUCUUUGCUGGUCUCUGGGGAGAUAAAUCUAGCUAACUUAGUUAAUCAUUGGCUAGCUAGGCCAUCACAAGCUAGAUAAAUGCAUCUGCCAUUCAACUGUAUUGGGUAACAUUUUGGAGUGAAUCAACCAAUCACAUUUUGACUUAAUGGGUGGGACAGUUUUUAGAAAACCUAUGGAAACUUCUCCCUUCUUGAAGGCCAACAGGUCACUGUGCAAUAGUGAGCAGUAGUUUUCCCACGAUCUAGCUAGCUAGCUUUUAUUGAUGGCUAGUUUGCAGCGUCUGCAGCAGGUGUUAUCAAAGAGGAUGUUGUUGCUAAUUUGAUACCGUCUCCCCUUUCAAGAAUAACUUUCCACAAGAAGUUAAGUUUCAAAUGAUCAUCAUCUGGUGAGUGGAACUGUGUUUUUUAUUGCAGCACGCUUCCUGUUGUUAGCCAUCUCUUUUAAAAUAACUUGUGUGUGUGAAACAUUGCUACAUUUAAAGUGGCGAUGACAGGAGAGGGACAGGAGAG